This is a long non-coding RNA of Apis cerana (Asiatic honeybee), 1381 nucleotides long. RefSeq lists it as uncharacterized. NCBI's taxonomy places the organism in Eukaryota, Metazoa, Arthropoda, Insecta, Hymenoptera, Apidae. The record is from RefSeq and is a predicted model, not a curated record.
ACCAUAGAGUGGUCUCUCUAGAAAUUUCGCUGUUUAUUCGAAAUUCAACAUCUCUCUCUUGCGACUAAAGAUCGACGACGUAACGUUAUGGUAAAUUUACCAAUAGGGGAAAACUUGUGAUCGUAAAAGUGGCAUUGACGGCAAUCCUACUUAUUGGACGAACUAGUCCAUAUAGGAACUCGACUGGACAAGAUGUAUUAACUCAAAGGUGAACUGACGGAACGUAAUUAUUCGAAACGACUCGAAAGGACGUUUCUCGAAUAUGUGAGAUUUAUGAUACACGCUGUUACAUACAACUUGCGAUAAAAACGAUAUUAAUCAUUUAAGUAGAGAGUCAUCUAGACUGGCAAGACUAUGGAAUAAGUUGGUUAAAUUUUGUAAUAAAGUCGAGAGUUUUUACAGAGAAAUCGCUAAAUGGAUGGAAAAAUCGACGAAGAAAAGAUGGAGCCCUCGUAAACCGAAGAUUUACUACCUCGCGGGCCGAUAAAGUGCCCGUUUGCUCGGAUAAAAUAUAGGUAGUGGCUACUUUGAAAUUUCACGACACGUAGUUACGAGAUCGAAGUGACGUGGAAAAAGGAAGAGGCAGAGAUACAUUGCACGAUUCAUCGAAACUCGAUUGUUCGGUUGCGUAAUUAGACAUAGUAGUUGGUGAACGAUUACAGUGAAAGUCGUCGACUGAUAAAAAAGAAAUUAUUUCAUUCUGUGUGUUUCAACGUGUUUCCCCAUGGAAGUUUGGACACGUUCGAUAUUCAGGGCCUUCCCCUUAUUUGUCUACACCAUUGUUGGACUCGAUGUUUCGAUUCAUGGAACGUAAACAACUAUCGAUUACACGAGAUUACCGUGAGAGCGAGUAAAUCAUCGAGUAGACUGGAAGAUAAAGGAAAAUGUCGAAAUUUCGUGGGACGAGAGAAGAGACUGGCCUUGGAGACCUUCUCGAAGGAGGAUCGUGGAUCCGGGAGAGGUUUAUCCUUUAUUUAAUUUUAAUUUUAAUUUUAAUUCCCGACCUUUCGUUUGCUCAAAUCCCGCCACUUCUCAGCCACGGGUUAUUUAUUUAUUUAUGCCGCGUUUUAUUAUGCCUUCGUCUCGAGCGCGUGCACUCGUCGCCUUUCCCCCCUCCCCCUCCUCCAUUCCAGCCGUUGGAUCGAUUGCAAAUAGUCUCUUAAUAUUUUUCUUCUUCGUUAAAAAAAAGUUCAAGCGGAAAAAAUUUCGUUUCGAUACUUGAACUUGUUGGUUUGAAAAAGAUUUGAUCGAAUCUUUUGUUCGUUCAGUUGCAUUUUGUUUCACACAUUCGGGCGUGGAAUGUGAAUUUUGAACGUUUGAAUUUGUUUAUAACUUGAUUCGACAGAUUCUGAGAAUAAAAUUAAAAUUAAAAUUCUGAGAA